Molecule: ribosomal RNA, 484 nt
Filed under: uncultured bacterium
Lineage: Bacteria
Description: SSU rRNA
Rfam family: Bacterial small subunit ribosomal RNA
Source: RNAcentral
AGGAUAAACGCUGGCGGCGUGCCUAACACAUGCAAGUCGAACGCGCUUGCUAUCCGCGAGGACGGUGAGCGAGUGGCGGACGGGUGAGGAACACGUGGGUGACCUACCUUUCAGUGAGGGAUACCGGCGAGAAAUUGCCGACAAGACCGCAUACGCUUCUCUUUUCAAGGGGAGAAGGAAAGCUUUUCGCAAGAGAGGCGCUGGGAGAUGGGCCUGCGGCCGAUUAGCUAGCUGGUGGGGUAAUGGCCUACCAGGGCGACGAUCGGUAGCUGGUCUGAGAGGACGAUCAGCCACACUGGGAUUGAGAACGGCCCAGACUCCUACGGGGGGCAGCAGUGAGGAAUUUUCGGCAAUGGGGGCAACCCUGACCGAGCAACGCCGCGUGCAGGACGACGGCCUUCGGGUUGUAAACUGCUUUUCUCUGGGACGAGCAAGGACGGUACCAGAGGAAGAGCCCGGCUAACUACGCGCCAGCAGCCGCGGU